Molecule: ribosomal RNA, 410 nt
Filed under: uncultured bacterium
Lineage: Bacteria
Description: bacterial SSU rRNA
Rfam family: Bacterial small subunit ribosomal RNA
Source: RNAcentral
UGGCGGACGGGUGAGUAACACGUGGGUAACCUGCCUCAAAGUGGGGGAUAGCCUUCCGAAAGGAAGAUUAAUACCGCAUAACCCAUAGCUUCCGCAUGGAAGCAAUGGUAAAGAUUUAUCGCUUUGAGAUGGACCCGCGGCGCAUUAGCUAGUUGGUGAGGUAACGGCUCACCAAGGCCACGAUGCGUAGCCGACCUGAGAGGGUGAUCGGCCACAUUGGAACUGAGACACGGUCCAGACUCCUACGGGAGGCAGCAGUGGGGAAUAUUGCACAAUGGGCGAAAGCCUGAUGCAGCAACGCCGCGUGAGUGAUGAAGGCCUUCGGGUUGUAAAGCUCUGUCUUUGGGGACGAUAAUGACGGUACCCAAGGAGGAAGCCACGGCUAACUACGUGCCAGCAGCCGCGGUAAU